Molecule: long non-coding RNA, 2915 nt
Filed under: Equus caballus (horse)
Lineage: Eukaryota; Metazoa; Chordata; Mammalia; Perissodactyla; Equidae
Description: lncRNA (ENSECAG00000045083.1)
Source: RNAcentral
GUUAUACGCUACAAAUUACUCCAAACUUAGCCACUUAAAACAGUAACUUUUUGUUAUCUCAGAGUUUCUGUGGGUGAGAAUCUGAGAGUGGCUUAGCUGAAGGUUCUGGCUCAGGAUCUCUCAGGUUGCAGCCAAGCUGUUGGCUGUCAAAGCCUGACCUGGGUGAAGGAUGUGUUUCCAAGCUCACUCAUGUGGUUGCUGGGAGGCCUCAGCAACUUGACACAUAAGCCUCUCCAUAGGCUACUUGAGUGUCUUGAUUACAUGGUGGUUGGCUUCCACGAGAGUAAGCAAAGAGAGAGACACACAAAGAGAAGGACAGAGAGGCAGAGAGAGAAUGAGAGAGACAGCAGGAGAGUACACCCAAGGGGGAAACAACAGUCUUUUAAAAUCUAAUCUCUUAAUUGACAUACCAUCACUUCUACUGUAUACUAUUAAUCACACAGAACAAACCCGAUCAAUAUGAGAAAGGACUACACAGGGGUGUGACUCCCAGAAGGAGGCGAUGAUUGGAGGCCAUCUUGGGACCUGUGUACCACAGACUGUUAUCGCGAAAACAGAAGAUGAAACUAAAGAUGAAAGAGAGUGAUUUUUCUAACCCCUGUUUGAGCGAAGACUCCCCCACAACCUAAAAGAUCAAUCAUAUGGAAAACAGAAAGUUUUUCAGCACAAGGAUGACUUCUCAAUAGAGAAUGAAGAAAAAGUGCAGGAGAAGGAGACAUGUCCACCGUGCGAUGAAUGGAUUCUCAAGAAAAAAUAUAAAGUGCCUAGAAGAUAUUGCGGGUCCCCUUGCAGAACACUGCAAUAAAGUAAAUAUUGCAAUAAAGUGAUAAGGAAUAUAACUGAAGAGCUACCACAGAAAUGAAAAGAUUAUGAGGAAGUUGAAAAUUGCCUUGAACGCACUCAUAUAGUCUUGGUGGUUUGGACUGCUAGAGAGAUGAAAGGAAGCAUCAUGAACCUAGGAGAAGGUUCUAUUUAAAGAUAGCAGCCUGGAUGUGCAGAAUGCGGUGAAAAUAAUGAUGUGCCAGACCCCACUAGACUUCAGUGGCCCCGUGUGCUUCCAUUGUCUCUCUCGGAACUCUGCGCCUGCCAUGUGAACAAACCCAGCUCAGCAGAUGGACCGGAAGAUCAUGUGGAAGAGGUCCCAGCUAUCCUUGCUGAGGCCAUCCUCAACCUGCCGGCAACCAGCUGAUUCUGAACCAUGUGAGAGAAUCCAGCCACGAUCUGCAGAACCAACUCUUCCCUACUGACAGCUGACCACAGGAAUGCGUGCCUGAGCCCAGCUGAGCCCAGAAGAACUGUCCUGCUGACCUAGAGACCCAUGAGCAAAGAUACACGCUUUUGACAUUAACUCACUGAAAUGUAGUUGGUUUGUUCCACAGCAGUAGCUAAACACACCGAAAGUUUUCCAAAGUAUGAAAAGUAUAUGAAGAGCCAGUGCAAAAUCAUUCCUGGGAAUCAGGCAGACAAGAGCUCAGUUCUGUGUCAAGGAUGCAUCUCUUAAGGGGAACCAAGGGUGUCUGCUAUCAUCCUGGUGGUUAUGUACUGAAAGAAAAAAGGACAAGUUAAGGGCUGGCCCAGUGGUGCAGCGGUUAAGUUCCCACAUUCCGCUUUGGCGACCCAGGGUUUGCAGGUUCGGAUCCUGGGCUUGGACCUACGCACCUCUGUCAAGCUGUGCUGUGGCAGGCGUCCCACAGAUAAAGUAGAGGAAUGGAUGUUAGCUCAGGGCCAGUCUUCCUCAGCAAAAGAGGAGGACUGGCAGCAGGUGUUAGCUCAGGGGUAAUCUUCCUCAAAAGAAACACGAAAACCCAAGUUAAAAGUGUAAGGGUAAACUGAUUUAGGGAUCAGAGUCCUGUAAGGCAUAAUUCUUUGUAGGAAUGGGCCAUAAUUCAGCAUAAGGAAAGUAAAGAAAAAGAGUUGCCUUCUCUUUUAGCAUUAAAAAGAAAUUGCAUCUCAAUUUGCUCAUUUUAUCAAUAUGCUUCUAUCUUAAUCUGCAUAUGAGGAAGAAAGGUUUUGUCUUCUGUGAUUCUAGCUUCCUUUUUUCCUUUUUCUAGGGUCUUAAAAUAUGUUUAUCUUUUGUUAGUUUGUGUCUCUACAUAGGGCCCAGCGUAUCCAAUGUCUCCCUAUGAGAAACUGCCUAUCAGAAAAGAGUAAAAAUUAAGGGAACUCAUUUAUGGUCAAUUGCCUCUUUUCCUAGGGACUUAGCUCUUAAGGGAAAACAAAACCACUAAAUGAAAUCAAUCAGCAAGGAGGUGGCAGACCUGAUUUUCUCUUGAGAAAUGGGUAGAGCGUAGGCGGCAACCCACUUCGAUUCCAGCAAGUCUGGUCUCCGCAUGACAGAGAAGGCGCUGAAGGUUGCCUCCAGGUGGAGAGGAUUUCGGACUAGCCGUCCUUUUCAAGGCUGGUGAAGCAACAAACCCUUGAGCCAUCGGUUGCCCUUUGGUCUUUUGAAGGACUUUCUGAUAGUAUUUCCUAAAUCUACCUCAACUCCCCACCCUGAGACUCAGACGGAUUAUUCCUCCCAGAACAAAAAUAUAAGAAUCCAUGACUUUUGAUACUGGUAGAGUUCCUCUUGGAAACAAAUGUAGGCCCUCCAUCUCCUUUCUAGAAGAAUGCCUGUUCCCUCUUGGAAACGACUGAAUCAUUGUUGCCAUCUUCUUUCUUCCCAGAAGAACAAUAACACCGUUUUAGUUCUCUCAUUCUUUUCUUAAAGCAAUGCUGGGUGUUAUUUAUACAACUUAAGACUUGAUUACACUUGACAUUGAAGUAGCUAUUUGUACAGAAAUUCAUCUUUCUUAUUAGUAGCAUAAAGUUUGUCUUCUCCCCUAAGAUGUCUCAUCAACUUAUGCUACCUUUUCAUUAUAGCUCUUACUCUAUUUGCUUCAUUCCUUCCUUUCCUUCCUUCCCUUCUCCCUCCC